AAACAGCAGUAUAUGAGAAGUCAACAAUUUGGAAUUUAGAAAGUGAAUGGAUGAAUGGUACCUGAUUUAGCAGACCACAGAAAGCUGAAACUCAAGCUUGUAAGAGUAUCAGGGUAGAUGGCAGGAGCCAACAGGUAGCCAGACAUUUCUAGCCACACCAUCCCAGAGAGGCCUGGGAAUUGGAGGCAUUGUUUACUUCUGAAGGUAGGGGUUCAAAAUUAGGGUGAAAAUGGAAGGAUUAGUUACAAGUUUUUAAAAGAAGUAGUAGAGAUCUCCUCAUCCCAGAUUUCUUACUCUACCCUAUAUAGCCAUGUGAUCAUCCUCUCCCAAGCUGGCAGAAGACAAAAAGUUGAUGCUCUGAGAUGUUUAACCAAAAAGAUUCUGGACACAGGGACACCAGACACUGCUGACGGAAGGGUGAGGAGUCAAUAUGAAAAUAACAGGUUAAGGUUUCCUAGGAAACAUUUUGAAGAAGUCCAACCUUAUUUGGCUGAACAUGAAGAGGGAAAGGGACUUGGCUGGAAGAGCAAGGAGGAAGCUAUUGCACUCCUGGUGACGGCUGCCAUCUAGGCCUGAUAGGAGGAGGCCCUCUCCUCUCCUCCUGUGUGGCCAAGUCCUAGCCUGGACACUCCACCACCAAAGGGAGAAGACAAAGCCUUCUUGUUGCUCCAUAUUUAUCUUGGGAGCGCCUGCUCCUAGGAGAGCCUCCUGGCCUAGCAGCCCAGGAAUAGCACCGAGUCCACAUGGCCAGCCUGCCUGCCCCGCCAGGCCUUCAGAAUUGCUUGUUUUUAUUAAAAUUCUUCU
Long non-coding RNA from Loxodonta africana (African savanna elephant), 804 nucleotides. RefSeq lists it as uncharacterized. Lineage: Eukaryota; Metazoa; Chordata; Mammalia; Proboscidea; Elephantidae. The record is from RefSeq and is a predicted model, not a curated record. The transcript has 3 exons.